ACCUCGGAUCAGGUAGGGAUACCCGCUGAACUUAAGCAUAUCAAUAAGCGGAGGAAAAGAAACCAACAGGGAUUACCUCAGUAACGGCGAGUGAAGCGGUAACAGCUCAAAUUUGAAAGCUAGCUCUUUUAGGGUUCGCAUUGUAAUUUGUAGAAGAUGCUUCGGGUGUGGCCCCGGUCUAAGUUCCUUGGAACAGGACGUCAUAGAGGGUGAGAAUCCCGUAUGUGACUGGGUGCUUUCGCUCAUGUGAAGCUCUUUCGACGAGUCGAGUUGUUUGGGAAUGCAGCUCAAAAUGGGUGGUAAAUUUCAUCUAAAGCUAAAUAUUGGCCAGAGACCGAUAGCGCACAAGUAGAGUGAUCGAAAGAUGAAAAGCACUUUGGAAAGAGAGUUAAACAGUACGUGAAAUUGUUGAAAGGGAAGCGCUUGCAACCAGACUUGCGCGCUGAUGAUCAUCCGGGCUUCUGCCCGGUGCACUCGUCUGCGCUCAGGCCAGCAUCGGUUUCGGUGGUGGGAUAAAGGCCUUGGGAAUGUAGCUCCUCUCGGGGAGUGUUAUAGCCCUCGGUGCAAUGCCGCCUACCGGGACCGAGGACCGCGNU
RNAcentral lists this ribosomal RNA (596 nucleotides) under Leptodontidium sp. BESC803n. RNAcentral describes it as "eukaryotic LSU rRNA". It matches the Rfam family "Eukaryotic large subunit ribosomal RNA", at positions 1 to 601 of the family's 3401-position model. Lineage: Eukaryota; Fungi; Ascomycota; Leotiomycetes; Helotiales; Leptodontidiaceae. The record is from RNAcentral.